AAAUUGAAGAGUUUGAUCAUGGCUCAGAUUGAACGCUGGCGGCAGGCCUAACACAUGCAAGUCGAACGGUAGCACAGAGAGCUUGCUCUCGGGUGACGAGUGGCGGACGGGUGAGUAAUGUCUGGGAAACUGCCUGAUGGAGGGGGAUAACUACUGGAAACGGUAGCUAAUACCGCAUAACGUCGCAAGACCAAAGAGGGGGACCUUCGGGCCUCUUGCCAUCAGAUGUGCCCAGAUGGGAUUAGCUAGUAGGUGGGGUAACGGCUCACCUAGGCGACGAUCCCUAGCUGGUCUGAGAGGAUGACCAGCCACACUGGAACUGAGACACGGUCCAGACUCCUACGGGAGGCAGCAGUGGGGAAUAUUGCACAAUGGGCGCAAGCCUGAUGCAGCCAUGCCGCGUGUAUGAAGAAGGCCUUCGGGUUGUAAAGUACUUUCAGCGGGGAGGAAGGUGUUGUGGUUAAUAACCGCAGCAAUUGACGUUACCCGCAGAAGAAGCACCGGCUAACUCCGUGCCAGCAGCCGCGGUAAUACGGAGGGUGCAAGCGUUAAUCGGAAUUACUGGGCGUAAAGCGCACGCAGGCGGUCUGUCAAGUCGGAUGUGAAAUCCCCGGGCUCAACCUGGGAACUGCAUUCGAAACUGGCAGGCUAGAGUCUUGUAGAGGGGGGUAGAAUUCCAGGUGUAGCGGUGAAAUGCGUAGAGAUCUGGAGGAAUACCGGUGGCGAAGGCGGCCCCCUGGACAAAGACUGACGCUCAGGUGCGAAAGCGUGGGGAGCAAACAGGAUUAGAUACCCUGGUAGUCCACGCCGUAAACGAUGUCGACUUGGAGGUUGUGCCCUUGAGGCGUGGCUUCCGGAGCUAACGCGUUAAGUCGACCGCCUGGGGAGUACGGCCGCAAGGUUAAAACUCAAAUGAAUUGACGGGGGCCCGCACAAGCGGUGGAGCAUGUGGUUUAAUUCGAUGCAACGCGAAGAACCUUACCUACUCUUGACAUCCAGAGAACUUUCCAGAGAUGGAUUGGUGCCUUCGGGAACUCUGAGACAGGUGCUGCAUGGCUGUCGUCAGCUCGUGUUGUGAAAUGUUGGGUUAAGUCCCGCAACGAGCGCAACCCUUAUCCUUUGUUGCCAGCGGUCCGGCCGGGAACUCAAAGGAGACUGCCAGUGAUAAACUGGAGGAAGGUGGGGAUGACGUCAAGUCAUCAUGGCCCUUACGAGUAGGGCUACACACGUGCUACAAUGGCGCAUACAAAGAGAAGCGACCUCGCGAGAGCAAGCGGACCUCAUAAAGUGCGUCGUAGUCCGGAUUGGAGUCUGCAACUCGACUCCAUGAAGUCGGAAUCGCUAGUAAUCGUAGAUCAGAAUGCUACGGUGAAUACGUUCCCGGGCCUUGUACACACCGCCCGUCACACCAUGGGAGUGGGUUGCAAAAGAAGUAGGUAGCUUAACCUUCGGGAGGGCGCUUACCACUUUGUGAUUCAUGACUGGGGUGAAGUCGUAACAAGGUAACCGUAGGGGAACCUGCGGUUGGAUCACCUCCUUA
This 1540-nucleotide ribosomal RNA is filed under the name Pantoea agglomerans. Its description in RNAcentral is "bacterial SSU rRNA". It matches the Rfam family "Bacterial small subunit ribosomal RNA". RNAcentral also lists the same sequence under 6 other names. Lineage: Bacteria; Pseudomonadati; Pseudomonadota; Gammaproteobacteria; Enterobacterales; Erwiniaceae. The record is from RNAcentral.